CAUCCUACGGGGGGCAGCAGUGGGGGAUAUUGCACAAUGGGGGGAACCCUGAUGCAGCGACGCCGCGUGAGUGAAGAAGUAUUUCGGUAUGUAAAGCUCUAUCAGCAGGGAAGAAGAAAGACGGUACCUGAGUAAGAAGCCCCGGCUAACUACGUGCCAGCAGCCGCGGUAAUACGUAGGGGGCAAGCGUUAUCCGGAUUUACUGGGUGUAAAGGGAGCGUAGACGGCAGCGCAAGUCUGGAGUGAAAUCCCAUGGCUUAACCAUGGAACUGCUUUGGAAACUGUGCAGCUAGAGUGCAGGAGAG
This 305-nucleotide ribosomal RNA is filed under the name uncultured bacterium. Its description in RNAcentral is "bacterial SSU rRNA". It matches the Rfam family "Bacterial small subunit ribosomal RNA", at positions 335 to 656 of the family's 1533-position model. The record is from RNAcentral.